RNAcentral lists this long non-coding RNA (290 nucleotides) under Panax ginseng (ginseng). Its description in RNAcentral is "long non-coding RNA (PGIN_LNC000272)". The record is from RNAcentral. Lineage: Eukaryota; Viridiplantae; Streptophyta; Magnoliopsida; Apiales; Araliaceae.
UUGCCAUCAAAUCUACAUUCCCCUAUUUAACAACCCUUUUUGAGCUUUUAUAUUUGGAUGUUUUAUUUUAAACUUUUUGUGUGUGCUUACAUUAUUUAAAGGGUUUCUGUUAUUUGCAUAUGGGUCAUGUGUGUUUGAAAUUAGCCCAUUUUUCUAUAUAAUUGCUUAAUAUAAUACUGUCAUAGCACAAAUUUGUUCAUCAAUCCAGGUAUCAUAGUUUAUCACUACUUUAAAAUUAAAUUCACCCUCAAAUUCCCUAAACUUGAGAACAAGAAAAUCUUUAGUUUUUC